UGGGGAAUAUUGCACAAUGGGCGCAAGCCUGAUGCAGCCAUGCCGCGUGUAUGAAGAAGGCCUUCGGGUUGUAAAGUACUUUCAGUCGGGAGGAAGGUGGUAAGGUUAAUAACCUUAUCAAUUGACGUUACCGACAGAAGAAGCACCGGCUAACUCCGUGCCAGCAGCCGCGGUAAUACGGAGGGUGCAAGCGUUAAUCGGAAUUACUGGGCGUAAAGCGCACGCAGGCGGUUGAUUGAGUCAGAUGUGAAAUCCCCGGGCUUAACCCGGGAAUUGCAUCUGAUACUGGUCAGCUAGAGUCUUGUAGAGGGGGGUAGAAUUCCAUGUGUAGCGGUGAAAUGCGUAGAGAUGUGGAGGAAUACCGGUGGCGAAGGCGGCCCCCUGGACAAAGACUGACGCUCAGGUGCGAGAGCGUGGGGAGCAAACAGG
This 429-nucleotide ribosomal RNA is filed under the name Chloroflexota bacterium. RNAcentral describes it as "Chloroflexi bacterium partial 16S ribosomal RNA". It matches the Rfam family "Bacterial small subunit ribosomal RNA", at positions 355 to 776 of the family's 1533-position model. Lineage: Bacteria; Bacillati; Chloroflexota. The record is from RNAcentral.